CCUACGGGUGGCAGCAGUGAGGAAUAUUGGUCAAUGGGCGUAAGCCUGAACCAGCCAAGUCGCGUGAGGGAUGAAGGUUCUACGGAUUGUAAACUUCUUUUAUAAGGGAAUAAAGUGCGGGACGUGUCCCGUUUUGUAUGUACUUUAUGAAUAAGGAUCGGCUAACUCCGUGCCAGCAGCCGCGGUAAUACGGAGGAUCCGAGCGUUAUCCGGAUUUAUUGGGUUUAAAGGGUGCGUAGGUGGCAUGUUAAGUCAGUGGUGAAAGUUUGCGGCUCAACCAUAAAAUUGCCGUUGAUACUGGGAGUCUUGAGUACGUUUGAGGCAGGCGGAAUGCGUGGUGUAGCGGUGAAAGGCUUAGAUAUCACGCAGAACCCCGAUUGCGAAGGCAGCAUACCAAGCCAUCACUGACACUGAUGCACGAAAGCGUGGGGAUCAAACAGGAUUAGAUACCCCAGUAGUC
This 460-nucleotide ribosomal RNA is filed under the name uncultured bacterium. RNAcentral describes it as "partial 16S ribosomal RNA". It matches the Rfam family "Bacterial small subunit ribosomal RNA", at positions 338 to 795 of the family's 1533-position model. The record is from RNAcentral.